CUAAAGCGAAACCCAACUGAAUGGCCGCGGUAACUCUGACCGUGAUAAUGUAGCACAAUAAAUAGCCAAUUAAUUGUUGGCGGGUAUGAAUGGAACCACGAGGGUCUUACUGUCUCAAGAGGAAAGCCGAUGAAAUUAUAGUUGUAGUGAAGAUACUACAUAAACAUUGUAAGACGAAAAGACCCUAUCGAGCUUUACUGGAUACCGAUAGCGUUAACUUAAAAUGAUCGAUACUAAGUAUCCUAAUUUUGGGUUAAUAAUUUUUGUUGGUAAGACAGUUUAGUUGGGGCGACUACCUUUGAAUAAGAAACGAAGGCGAGCUUAUGGUAUAUAAAGUUAAUCUCAUUAGCCUGACAGUGAGGGGGACACCCCUAGCUGGCACAAGGACAACGUCCUAUGUGGGCGAUAAUGACCCGAUAUGAUUGUCCAAAAAAGAUAUCGAAAGCGGAUAAAAGCUACCGUAGGGAUAACAGCGUAA
This 478-nucleotide ribosomal RNA is filed under the name Iciligorgia schrammi. RNAcentral's name for it is "partial 16S ribosomal RNA". It matches the Rfam family "Bacterial large subunit ribosomal RNA", at positions 1907 to 2485 of the family's 2925-position model. Lineage: Eukaryota; Metazoa; Cnidaria; Anthozoa; Malacalcyonacea; Alcyoniidae. The record is from RNAcentral.